This 71-nucleotide transfer RNA is filed under the name Halobates sericeus. RNAcentral's name for it is "tRNA-Lys". It matches the Rfam family "tRNA". Rfam says of the family: Transfer RNA (tRNA) molecules are approximately 80 nucleotides in length. Their secondary structure includes four short double-helical elements and three loops (D, anti-codon, and T loops). Further hydrogen bonds mediate the characteristic L-shaped molecular structure. tRNAs have two regions of fundamental functional importance: the anti-codon, which is responsible for specific mRNA codon recognition, and the 3' end, to which the tRNAs corresponding amino acid is attached (by aminoacyl-tRNA synthetases). tRNAs cope with the degeneracy of the genetic code in two manners: having more than one tRNA (with a specific anti-codon) for a particular amino acid; and 'wobble' base-pairing, i.e. permitting non-standard base-pairing at the 3rd anti-codon position. RNAcentral also lists the same sequence under 2 other names. Lineage: Eukaryota; Metazoa; Arthropoda; Insecta; Hemiptera; Gerridae. The record is from RNAcentral.
CAUUAAGUGGCUGAAAGUGAAGCAAUGGUCUCUUAAACCAAAAUAUAGUAAUUAACGUAUACUCUUAAUGG